CGGCGAGUGAAGCGGUAACAGCUCAAAUUUGAAAUCUGGGUCUUUCAGGCUCCGAGUUGUAAUUUGUAGAAGAUGCUUUGGGUGCGGCCCCGGUCUAAGUUCCUUGGAACAGGACGUCAUAGAGGGUGAGAAUCCCGUAUGUGAUCGGUGGCUUGCGCCCGUGUAAAGCUCUUUCGACGAGUCGGGUUGUUUGGGAAUGCAGCUCUAAAUGGGUGGUAAAUUUCAUCUAAAGCUAAAUAUUGGCCAGAGACCGAUAGCGCACAAGUAGAGUGAUCGAAAGAUGAAAAGGACUUUGGAAAGAGAGUUAAACAGUACGUGAAAUUGUUGAAAGGGAAGCGCUUGCAACCAGACUUGCGCGGGGUUGAUCAUCCGGGGUUCUCCCCGGUGCACUCGGCCUCGCUCAGGCCAGCAUCGGUUUCGGUGGUUGGAUAAAGGCCUUGGGAAUGUGACUUCUUUCGGGGAGUGUUAUAGCCCUCGGUGCAAUGCAGCCUACCGGGACCGAGGACCGCGCUUCGGCUAGGAUGCUGGCGUAAUGGUUGUAAGCGACCCGUCUUGAAACACGGACCAAGGAGUCUAACAUCUAUGCGAGUGUUUGGGUGUCAAACCCAUACGCGUAAUGAAAGUGAACGGAGGUGAGAACCCUUAAGGGUGCAUCAUCGACCGAUCCUGAUGUCUUCGGAUGGAUUUGAGUAAGAGCAUAGCUGUUGGGACCCGAAAGAUGGUGAACUAUGCCUGAAUAGGGUGAAGCCAGAGGAAACUCUGGUGGAGGCUCGCAGCGGUUCUGACGUGCAAAUCGAUCGUCAAAUUUGGGCAUAGGGGCGAAAG
RNAcentral lists this ribosomal RNA (825 nucleotides) under fungal sp. BG116. RNAcentral's name for it is "eukaryotic LSU rRNA". It matches the Rfam family "Eukaryotic large subunit ribosomal RNA", at positions 87 to 929 of the family's 3401-position model. Lineage: Eukaryota; Fungi. The record is from RNAcentral.